RNAcentral lists this small nuclear RNA (100 nucleotides) under Suricata suricatta (meerkat). RNAcentral's name for it is "U2 spliceosomal RNA (ENSSSUG00005018335.1)". It matches the Rfam family "U2 spliceosomal RNA". Rfam says of the family: U2 is a small nuclear RNA (snRNA) component of the spliceosome (involved in pre-mRNA splicing). Complementary binding between U2 snRNA (in an area lying towards the 5' end but 3' to hairpin I) and the branchpoint sequence (BPS) of the intron results the bulging out of an unpaired adenosine, on the BPS, which initiates a nucleophilic attack at the intronic 5' splice site, thus starting the first of two transesterification reactions that mediate splicing. Lineage: Eukaryota; Metazoa; Chordata; Mammalia; Carnivora; Herpestidae. The record is from Rfam by way of RNAcentral.
AUCGCUUCUCGGCCUUUUGGCUAAGAUCAAGUGUACUAUCUGUUCUGAUCAGUUUAAUAAUCUCGCAGUUCAUGAAUUGAUGACCUGUGUGAGGCUCCAU